Molecule: long non-coding RNA, 1856 nt
Filed under: Eurytemora carolleeae
Lineage: Eukaryota; Metazoa; Arthropoda; Copepoda; Calanoida; Temoridae
Description: uncharacterized LOC111696328
Source: RNAcentral
CUGGGUUUCAGUGAACACACAUAAAUAUGUUCUUUUUCUUAAUCUUACAAUUUUUAGGUACAGUUUUGAGCUGCAGUACAGAUCCUCCUUCUGAACAUGGACCAUGUAAUUCAUUACUUCAACGAUGGACUUUUAGUGAAGGAGCUUGCAGGUUGUUUAUCUACGGCGGUUGUGAGGGAAAUGGAAACAAUUAAAGAACUUACCAAGAUUGUAAUAAGGCGUGCAGGGAGAAAGAUGCUCGUAUUCCUGUAGAAGUGGGAUUACCCGUCAACCGAGGGAUUUGUUUUGAUCCUCCAGCAGAUCCGGAAUCAUGCUUUCAAUCCCUUCAGAGAUGGACUUUUAUACUUGAAAGUGGACUUUGCCAGCCGUAUCUUUACUCAGGAUGUAAACAAGGAUUGAACAGUUUCCGAACCCGGAAAGAAUGUGAGAAGGCGUGUUCCCAGUAUUCAACGCGUACAAGGGUCUUAAAUCUUUAACCAAGAAAACAAGAAACAAAAUCAAGAAUAGUAUUUGAAAUUUAGAAUUAAGAAUAUGAGCAAUAGUUGAUAUGUAGAUGAAAAACCUAUCUGUAAAAUUUAUCUUGUUAAUGCAUACGUCAACAAUAUUUAGAAUCGAAAAUAAACUAAAUAUUGAAGAACUGUGGUCAAACUUUCCUAAAAUUUAAUAAAAUCUUUUGAGCAUAGAAAUCUACAAACCAUAUUUCUUUUCAAACUACAAUAUUUUCGUUUAUUGUGAUACUAACCCAUAGCAUUCCAUAUAUUUUUGAAAAACCCUUGGCCUCUAACUUAAUAAUCUGUAAAAAAAAAUUCCAAGAUUCCAAAUAUUUAUUCCGAAAUCUAGUUAUCCCAAAAAAUCAUAAAUUAUAAAUUUUUGAAAAGAGGGACCCAUCGAAUUCAAAAAUGCAAACAAAUUGCAUAAUUUCAAAGUGUGUGUAGUAUUAAUGAAAAACAGAAAAUUUGUAAAUCUACUUUAAAGACGUCUUUGCAAUAGGUAACAAUACAUUUCCUUUCAAAACAUGUUCAAUCUGAGGCCGAAUUUAAAGAAUUUAAGCCGGGGCUUACAUAUGGUUUGUUCCAUACUUAAAAUUGUGUUUCAAGAUUUAAGCCGGCGCUUAAUUGAAACCGGUCUUAGGUGGAUUUAAGACACGACGGCUCAAAUUCAUUAAAUUCUGGCACUGCUUUCUGUUGUCGAGAGUUGUAUAAUGACAAGAAGUAAAUCGGUAUAAAUACAUAUUUAUUCUGAUUUUAAAAAAAGAAGUGCGUGAAAAGGAAUACUUAAAGACUUUAAAAAGUCACUUUUUUACAUUUUAAAUUAAUUUGCACUGAAUAUUAGAAACUUUUAAUGAUUUUAAAAAAUGUAAUUCUAACGUGUAUGAAAUACAAAACUCGUUCGAAAAAUUCUAAUGUUUUGUUUAAUAUACAAAUAGCCCCCCAUGUAUACGCCCCUCAGCCCAGCGUUUUCAAAUAAAAGAUUGAAAUACAAAAUCGCGCAACCUCGAGCACAGGAAAUCUCGCAAAUCGCCAAUAUUAGGCUAAGCUAUAUAAUCAGCAUACAGUUCAACUCAACACUUCGGAGACAUCAAAAGAAUUUAUAAAAUGUUUUUUUUUUCUAAAUCUACUGAUAUCGGAAUUUUGAAUGCUGCACUUUUUUAGUUUUUCGAUUUAAUAAUUAUAUGGAGCUCUUCAAAACUGUUCUUGCAUAUGUUAUGGCAAUUUUUUUUUUAAAUUACUGAGUUUUAAUGCUUAUACAACACCCAUUAAACAAUUGUCAAGCCGACAUUUUAUAAAUCCUUUCGAUACCUCCGAAGUUCUGGGUCUUUUUGAGAAUAAUGUUAAAAAAUGUUUAAACCUUUUCAA